GUGUUAUUGCUGCCUUUCUUUUGUCCUGGUGCACUGAGAGGGAAACAUCCUGUGUGGCUGAAGAGAUUGAACAUCACCAGCAAACCCCCAGGAGGAAAAAGACAGUUGUGUCUACCAGUGAUAGCAAAGGGAGACAGGUGGGAUCCCUGCAUGGCAUGGCAUGGGUGUGAAGAGGAACAAGUCACCCUGGAUCUGGUAGGUGUUGUGAUACGAAGUUGACCUCAAUGGGCGUGUGUGUGGAGGGGAGGGAGAGGCAGAGACUGAUUUCCUUUAACCUGCCUUUUAGAGAGAGAGUUUUUGUUUUAUUUGUUUUGUUUUUUUUUUUUUUUUUUUGAGACAGGGUUUCUCUGUAUAGCCCUUGAACUCACUCUGUUGACCAGGCUGGCUUCAAACUCAGAAAUCCUGCCUCUGCCUCCUGAGUGCUGAGACUAAAGGAGAGAGAGCGCCACCACGCCCGGCUAGAGAGAGGUAUUUUACUUUUGUCUGAUCUUCCUGAGGGAAGGAAAGCAGUGAAUGUGUCAGAGCAUGCUCACUCAUAGCUGAAAUUAAAUAGGAGAAAGGUUAUUGUGAGAGAGGGUUGGGAUGGACCAGCUUGUUUAAUGUUUGCAGAAACCUACAGAAAGCUUCCUAUAAACAGAUGAGUAAGAGUAAGGCCAGUGACAGGAUUGUAGAGCAUUUACAAUCUCAGUAGACAUCAGGAGUAGACAAGAACAGCAGCAGUAGUCUUGUCUAAAUAUGGCUCAGCAGGUAAAGGUACCUGUCACCAAACUUGAAGUCCUGAAUUCUAUGGUUGAGUAUUUAUUUGUACAGGAACACACUAAUAAAUGUGAAAAAAAAAAUAAAGAUCUCUUCCAAUGGCUUCUACAUAUUUAAGAUGAGCAAAAGUAAUUUGUAGUAAGAGAAGAUGAAAAUGUGUUGUAUUCUCAGUAACUCUUUAAGGAAACUAAGAUACAGCUAAACGUGAUCGAUCAUGCUUAGCUGAAGUACCGGCUCCGAGCAUCAAGGUAGCCUACCCCACCUAGGAAUAACCAAAAUAAAGCAAUACAAUUGCUUCUAUGUAUUUUUUUUUCUUUAGAAAUUAGUGUUUAGUAAUUUACACUUUGGUUUGUCAUGGGACAGCAGUGUUAAAUGGGAUCUGUUCUCAUGUCUUAGCUGUGGGUUGAUAGCUGAGUGAAAGACUUGUGUUCUCCAGUUUGGGAGUUAAUAAGAUAAAGUAGGCCGACUUUUCUGUCUUUGAGGAGUUCAGGUAACACUGCAUUAUCUUGCUUAAUU
Molecule: long non-coding RNA, 1272 nt
Filed under: Mus musculus (house mouse)
Lineage: Eukaryota; Metazoa; Chordata; Mammalia; Rodentia; Muridae
Description: long non-coding RNA chr5:29754396-29755668
Source: RNAcentral